CCUACGGGAGGCUGCAGUAGGGAAUAUUGGGCAAUGGGUGAGAGCCUGACCCAGCCAUGCCGCGUGCAGGAAGACGGCCCUAUGGGUUGUAAACUGCUUUUGUAAGGGAAGAAAAAAGUCCUGCGGGAUACAUUGACGGUACCUUACGAAUAAGCACCGGCUAACUCCGUGCCAGCAGCCGCGGUAAUACGGAGGGUGCAAGCGUUGUCCGGAUUUAUUGGGUUUAAAGGGUACGUAGGCGGAUGCUUAAGUCAGUGGUGAAAGCCUGCGGCUCAACCGUAGGAUUGCCUCUGAUACUGAGUAUCUUGAGUGCGGUAGAGGUGGGCGGAAUUCAUGGUGUAGCGGUGAAAUGCAUAGAUACCAUGAGGAACACCGAUAGGGAAGCCAGCUCACUGGACCGUAACUGACGCUAAGGUACGAAAGCGUGGGGAGCCAACAGG
RNAcentral lists this ribosomal RNA (440 nucleotides) under uncultured bacterium. RNAcentral describes it as "bacterial SSU rRNA". It matches the Rfam family "Bacterial small subunit ribosomal RNA", at positions 338 to 776 of the family's 1533-position model. The record is from RNAcentral.